Asterias rubens (European starfish) is the source of this 1648-nucleotide long non-coding RNA. RefSeq lists it as uncharacterized. The transcript is spliced from 4 exons. Lineage: Eukaryota; Metazoa; Echinodermata; Asteroidea; Forcipulatida; Asteriidae. The record is from RefSeq and is a predicted model, not a curated record.
GUCACUUCGCCCGCUUGCAAGACAAAAUGGCUGAAUGCUCAAGAAUUUUCUCUCAUGUUCUUUCACAAUUUACAUGUAAUUAAGUCGACACAAUAACUACAACAAUGAAAGAGUGAGGAGAACUGUGCUACAGAACAGGUGCAUUUCUACUAAGCAUGUUACUGCCUUGGGAUGUGCAAUCAAGUUAUAAUCAAGAUGAGGUCUAAAAGAAAAGACGUGUACCUUUUGCUGACAGCUCCAAUCUUUCCAUUUAUCAAGAAAACCGCUGGCACCGACAACUCGAUGUGUCCAUCAUGUACUGUACAGGUGGUAUUAACAACUGCAUCUCCUAAGGACCGAUUGUCACCCACGAAGCAGCACCAAAGUUAACAGUGUCAGUUCAUAAGCAAGGCCUGAAUGAACGAAGCAAGGCCUGAAUGAACGAACCCAGGGAGAUUCAAGCUGUACUUAAUGGAGGGCUGACACCUGUUGCAGCCUUGGAACUAUCAACAUGUGAAGCAAAUGUGAAGAUGGUGUUGAACAUGAACAUAACUGAUGUUAUGUAACAAGGGUUCAUAGCAAUGCGUAUUUAUCAAAUUUUACCCAAAUUUUGUCCGAAAAUGCAAUAAGGCUUUAGACUUGCAUAUUAAUUAUCAAACUUUCUCACAUUUUGCCUCAAAAUGCAUCAAUGCUUUAGCCUUGCAUAUUUAUCGAAUUUUUCUCACAUUUUGCUUCAAAAUGCAACAAGGCCUUGCGUAUUCAUCGAAUGUUGCUCAAGUUUUGCACGAAAAAUGCAACAAGGCUUUUUUAGCCUUGCGUAUUUGUUAAAUUUACUCACAUUUUGCCUCAAAAUGCAUCAAUGCUUUAGCCUUGCAUAUUUAUCGAAUUUUUCUCACAUUUUGCUUCAAAAUGCAACAAGGCCUUGCGUAUUUAUCAAAUGUUGCUAAAAUUUUGCAUGAAAAAGCAACAAGGCUAUAGCAUUACAUAUUUACCAAAUUUUUCUCACAUUUUGCCUCAAAAUGCAUCAAGGCCUUGCAUAUUCAUCGAAUGUUGCUCAAGUUUUGCACGAAAAAUGCAACAAGGCUUUUUUAGCCUUGCAUAUUUAUUAAAUUUACUCACAUUUUGUCUCAAAAUGCAGCAAGGUAUUAGCCUUGCAUGUUUAUCAAAAUUUUCUCUUAUUUUGCCUCAAAAUGCAACAUAUUUAUCAAAUUUUUCUAACAAUUUUUCCUCAAAACGCAACAAGGCUUUAACCUUGCAUGUUUAUCUAAUUUUUCUCACAUUUUGCCUCAAAAUAAAACAAGGCCUUGUGUAUUCAUCAAAUGUUGCUCAAAUUUUGCACGAAAAAUGUAACAAGGCCUUACAUAUUUAUAAUUUUUUUUUCAAAUUUGCUUCAAAAUGCAACAAGGCUUUAGCCUUGCAUAUAAUCAAAUGUUUGCUCAAAAUUUGCACGAAAAUAAACAAAGCCUUGCAUAUUUAUCCAAAUUUAUCACAUUUUGCCUCAAAACGCAACUAGGCUUUAGCUUUGCAUGUUUAUCAAAUUUUUCUCACAUUUUGCCUCAAAAUGCAACAAGGCUUUAUUUAAGGAAUCUUGCUCAAUUUUCGCACGAAAAUGCAACAAGGCUUUAGCCUUGCAUAUUUAUCGAAUUUUGCUCAAAUUUUUCAUGAAAAU